RNAcentral lists this ribosomal RNA (94 nucleotides) under uncultured bacterium. RNAcentral describes it as "partial 16S ribosomal RNA". It matches the Rfam family "Bacterial small subunit ribosomal RNA", at positions 1405 to 1500 of the family's 1533-position model. The record is from RNAcentral.
UGGGAGUCGGUAACACCCGAAGCCGAUAGUCUAACGAAAGAGGACGUCGUCGAAGGUGGGAUUGAUGACUGGGGUGAAGUCGUAACAAGGUACC